This 90-nucleotide ribosomal RNA is filed under the name Mediterraneibacter sp. Its description in RNAcentral is "partial 23S ribosomal RNA". It matches the Rfam family "Bacterial large subunit ribosomal RNA", at positions 2835 to 2925 of the family's 2925-position model. The record is from RNAcentral. Lineage: Bacteria; Bacillati; Bacillota; Clostridia; Lachnospirales; Lachnospiraceae.
CCCUUGAAGACGACGAGGUAGAUAGGGCAGAGGUGGAAGUGUGGUAACACAUGGAGCUGACUGUUACUAAUCGGGUGAGGGCUUGACCAA